RNAcentral lists this long non-coding RNA (343 nucleotides) under Lathyrus oleraceus (garden pea). RNAcentral's name for it is "Pisum sativum (pea) long non-coding RNA (PSAT_LNC005432)". Lineage: Eukaryota; Viridiplantae; Streptophyta; Magnoliopsida; Fabales; Fabaceae. The record is from RNAcentral.
UCUCAACAAAUGGAUUCAAGCGAACAAGCUCCAAGUUCAAGCAACCCAAACCCAGCGGUUACCGGUGUAGUCACAACUCCCAUCUACAAGGAGCCUCACAUUCUUGAUCGUGAGCCUCACAUCAAUCUUGCAACGCCAUUUGAGAAACUGGAAGUAUUAUGUGAAUCCUUGGUGGAUUUUGACAACAUGAAAAGAAAUGGAAUUGACCUCACUGAAGAACUCGGCAAUCAAGGUUGGGGAAACUACUUCAAACGUCUCUAUGGUCCAGUUUACACAAAUCUAGUGAAGGAAUUCUGGAGAUUCGCUGAUGCUGAUGAUCACUUCAUUGUCUCCUAUGUUCUGG